Molecule: long non-coding RNA, 7181 nt
Filed under: Volvox carteri
Lineage: Eukaryota; Viridiplantae; Chlorophyta; Chlorophyceae; Chlamydomonadales; Volvocaceae
Description: long non-coding RNA (VCAR_LNC002892)
Source: RNAcentral
ACAUAAACCAAACAGGACAAGCCUACAACAUGACUUCCAAAGGGUGGCAUGUAUGUUAGAAGCGCCCUGCAUUCCGCUAAGGUACAGCUUGUUAGCUAUUUGGACGGAACAGUCUUUUUUGCGUUUUUUUCCGAGUACCUCUUACACUGCUUGUCCUGCGCAUCCUUUACAUGUACUACGGCUAAGGGAUCCCUUCCGGAUGAUGAAGAAUGUGCUUUAUGCUGGACCAAUUACACAUCACGAUCAGCAUCGAUUAAGCGGCUCCAGGAGCUGGUACCAGCUGGUACCGGCCGGUGCUUAGGGCCCGAUCCGCCGCCGGGAGGACGACUUCCUGAGGCAAACACGACGGACAUCCCGAACGGUGCUUACAUCCGUGUUAUGGAAAUUGCUCUUACGUGUGUGGACCGGACGGAUGGACAUGAGGCAACGUUUUGCAUCACUUGUUUCUUGGCCGCAAGCAGCAACGUAGUGAAGGACAUGGACGCGCAUGCACAGGCCAUGGAAUGGUAUGUCUAAAUCAUGGAUGGCGACGUUCAACUCUCAGAAUGGUGAUUUCUGCCUUUGGGUUCAAUUCUGAACCUGGAAUGCUGCUGGCUCUGCCCGUACCGGAAAAGUGCUUUCCGGUACGGCGGUGUCAGGAGGUGGUAUGUACGUCGUCUUAGGGGCAACCCUAAGACCAAGGGGAUGAACGAAUAGAGAUAUACUUUCUGUUUCUUGGCUGCAGCAAGUGUUGUCCUGGGCGCAACGUUGAUGGCCUGAUGCCGACGCGACCUCCUUUACGACAAUGCUAGGCAAACGCAGCGGAUGUUCAUGAAUUACUUAAGCGUUCAUAUUACUCGUCACAGCUUCAACGGCACUGUACUGGGCGGAUGUAAGACGUGCGUUGGUGGACGCGAUGGCCUUACGAAGGGGGAGAAAGACGCUUAGGAGAUGCUUGGAUUGUUAUGUACAAGUCACGGACGGGGACGUUUAACUCUAUGAAUGCUGAGUUUUAGCUACUAGUCGGGUUUUUUGAACUUCGCUGUUGUUGGUUCCGCCCGUACAGGAAAAGUGUCUUCUGAUACGGCGGUCACAGCAGGUAGUAUCCACGUCGACUUGUAUGCAAACCNAAAUACAACGAAACCAGGGGAUGAUAUGACAGUUUUGGAAUGCUUGUUUCUUGGCCGCAAGCAGCAGCAUACUUAAAUCGCGUUGGGCCAUUUGCCCAGGCUGCCGCGAGGACGACAAGCCAGGCUAAUGCAGCUGGUGUCCAUGAUUGGAUCAUUACGUGCUGAAUAUGAAAGAUUGCUACGAAGACUCUGACCCUGACGAACGUAAAAUGUGAUGUUCGUAAGGAAGAAAACAGACGCAUAUCCAAGGCAUGGAGCUGUUUGUAGGGAAACCGUAAAUGAAGGUUUAAGGAACUGAACGAUGAAUUCUGCCGGUGUGGUCGGUUCUGGAUCUCUUAUGUUGCUCGUCACGCUCCUAAGGAAAAUGUACAUUUGUUGCAGGAGGGAGUCUGUGUGUCAAGUCGUAGUCAAACCUUUUUCAAAGGGGAUGAGCACACACACAGCUUGCAUUCCAUGUUCACUAACGUCAGCCCACAGUAAGCUACUGGGCUAGACUUGGAGGGUCCGACCGGGGCAACUCGUUGCUGUGGACUUGUAGGCAAGUCAAGUAGGGCUAUGGAAUGCUAGGACAAUGUUAUUAUGUUUGUGUUAUAGGCUUGGGUAGGAAUUCUUAAGCAAUACGUUGAGUGGCUUUUCCGCCGGCGGGAGGACGACAAUCCCAUGCAAACAGGACGGAUGUUCCGAAUGUUGCUUACAUUCAUGUUGUCGAAGCUCGCGACGACGGCUCUGGACAGGACGGAUGUCAAGUGUGCGUUGGUGGACGUGAUGGCAACGUAGUGAAGGACACGGACGCGCAUGCACAGGCCAUGGAAUGGUAUGUCUAAAUCAUGGAUGGCGACGUUCAACUCUCAGAAUGGUGAUUUCUGCCUUUGGGUUCAAUUCUGAACCUGGAAUGCUGCUGGCUCUGCCCGUACCGGAAAAGUGCUUUCCGGUACGGCGGUGUCAGGAGGUGGUAUCUACGUCGUCUUAGGGGCAACCCUAAGACCAAGGGGAUGAACGAAUAGAGAUAUANNNNNNNNNNNNNNNNNNNNNNNNNNNNNNNNNNNNNNNNNNNNNNNNNNGUACCGUUACCACGUCCGAACCGACCACUUUUUCCAAAAAGUUUCAACGUAACGUAGCAUGUGAACUGGCUAUUACAGCGCUAGCCGUCAGCGAUUUCUGGCUUACCAGGGUCUCAAGAUCUAGGACCUCUUUUCCGAAAGCACUGAAAGGAGUUUUGCAACGUUAUGUAAUCUUUUCGGGGACUUUCCAUGGACCUGCCGGCGAAGUAAGGGAAUGAUAUGCGCACGCCGCCGAAUAACUAAUUAUCAGUAAACAGUUAACCUGCAGGUAUCGCGUUGAACUUCUUAAUGCAAUGCCAACAUAAACCAAACAGGACAAGCCUACAACAUGACUUCCAAAGGGUGGCAUGUAUGUUAGAAGCGCCCUGCAUUCCGCUAAGGUACAGCUUGUUAGCUAUUUGGACGGAACAGUCUUUUUUGCGUUUUUUUCCGAGUACCUCUUACACUGCUUGUCCUGCGCAUCCUUUACAUGUACUACGGCUAAGGGAUCCCUUCCGGAUGAUGAAGAAUGUGCUUUAUGCUGGACCAAUUACACAUCACGAUCAGCAUCGAUUAAGCGGCUCCAGGAGCUGGUACCAGCUGGUACCGGCCGGUGCUUAGGGCCCGAUCCGCCGCCGGGAGGACGACUUCCUGAGGCAAACACGACGGACAUCCCGAACGGUGCUUACAUCCGUGUUAUGGAAAAUUGCUCUUACGUGUGUAGACCGGACGGAUGGACAAGAGGCAACGUUUUGCAUCACUUGUUUCUUGGCCGCAAGCAGCAACGUAGUGAAGGACAUGGACGCGCAUGCACAGGCCAUGGAAUGGUAUGUCUAAAUCAUGGAUGGCGACGUUCAACUCUCAGAAUGGUGAUUUCUGCCUUUGGGUUCAAUUCUGAACCUGGAAUGCUGCUGGCUCUGCCCGUACCGGAAAAGUGCUUUCCGGUACGGCGGUGUCAGGAGGUGGUAUCUACGUCGUCUUAGGGGCAACCCUAAGACUAAGCCCAAUGGCAUACUCCAGGCCGGUUCCGGCCCGGUUCCGACCUAACGGGUCCAGUUAACGAGAUGGGUAACCGGUCGGUAGGAUUACCGAGCGAACCGUUAUCCGUUAACCGUCCCCAGUAAUCGGUAACCGAUGUCGGUAACCUGGCAUGAGGAAAAAUGCAUUUCUGAUUGCAACCAGUUUCUUUGUGACAAUGCCCAUUGUCACAAGGUUCAUGCCCACGUGUCACACCCCGACAAGCUUAGGAGGUUAAGGCAAUGUGAAUGCCGGGUGACAGGGGUGACAGUCUUGUGCAGGCACAUUUGGAGACUAGUUUACACUGAGAUUGGGGUGAUGUUGGAUUAGAAUACUUGCAGUUCAUGAAAUUGAGGAAAUGUGUUGCAUAGGCAUAUCCAAACGUUUCAGAGGGACGUUGUUUCGCCCGUAACAGACUUGUUACGGGGCGAAACAAACUGGAUUUCCACAGUCCCACCACUCAAAGAGCUCCCCACACCAUCGCAAAGUCCCUUUUUUAUUACAGACACAUGUAACGAGUUGUCAUAGCUUGAGAUUGUCGAUAUAUGACUGCUGGAUUGUGACCAGGCCAUCUCCUUACAUGUCUUGCUGCACCAGCAUGAGCAGUGAUCCCUUCUGUUCAAAAUUUUCAGGCAACAUCGCAAUGAGGCAAAACAUUGUGCCGAAUCUGCCGUACAAAGAGUGUUCAAAGCUUCACGCUACUAACGGACGAAUACAUAAGCAUUCAUUUACCUUGAAAGAAUAAAGGAAUUCUAUAGCUUCAUACAAAUUCGCCUAUCAGCAAUUCUCCCUGGUCGUUCAAAAGUUGCUUGACGAUUCUACCAUCUCCAUACUAUGAAGGAGCGCUUCUUCAUUUCUUCAUUUUAUCGGAACCUUAACGUAUCCUUCCAACACAAUGUCCAUGGACAACGGUAAUGAGGUCGGCGCCUACGAGUUUGACCGGAACGCCCUGGACAACAUCGCCCGUCGGCGACAUGAUCGCCCACGCAAGAAAUACAGCCAGCAUCGUCCAGUGGAUGAGUUUGGAGUACAUAAGUUUGCCAGGGCAAACAAUCUAAGUCAAUUUACCGCGUGCCAAUUGGAGGAUGCCUUGUCCAAGGAAAGGUGCCAUAUGGACGACCUUGUGUUAGUUUAGUUGUUGCAUGUAAGCUUGUGAGUUGGUGGCCUGGUUCAUGCUUAUGGGCGACAAUUGAAAUGCCGGGACAAUGACUUAUUAGGGACAUUGACACGGCAUUUCACGCCCUCAAAGCGGGAACAAACGCUAAAACUAAAUACAUACAUAGUUCUAAAUCUUCUACUAAAAUUUUCCUGCAGCGUUAGAGGCCUUUAAAUAAUAUUGGCGAACGCUGCUUCCCGCGCUACNNNNNNNNNNNNNNNNNNNNNNNNNNNNNNNNNNNNNNNNNNNNNNNNNNNNNNNNNNNNNNNNNNNNNNNNNNNNNNNNNNNNNNNNNNNNNNNNNNNNNNNNNNNNNNNNNNNNNNNNNNNNNNNNNNNNNNNNNNNNNNNNNNNNNNNNNNNNNNNNNNNNNNNNNNNNNNNNNNNNNNNNNNNNNNNNNNNNNNNNNNNNNNNNNNNNNNNNNNNNNNNNUAUGGGCCCCAAACGGUCGGUACGGCAUGUUUAUGCCAUAGGGAAGGGGAUGAACGAAUAGAGAUAUACUUUCUGUUUCUUGGCUGCAGCAAGUGUUGUCCUGGGCGCAACGUUGAUGGCCUGAUGCCGACGCGACCUCCUUUACGACAAUGCUAGGCAAACGCAGCGGAUGUUCAUGAAUUACUUAAGUGUUCAUAUUACACGUCACAGCUUCAACGGCACUGUACUGGGCGGAUGUAAGACGUGCGUUGGUGGACGCGAUGGCCUUACGAAGGGGGAGAAAGACGCUUAGGAGAUGCUUGGAUUGUUAUGUACAAGUCACAGACGGGGACGUUUAACUCUAUGAAUGCUGAGUUUUAGCUACUAGUCGGGUUUUUUGAACUUCGCUGUUGUUGGUUCCGCCCGUACAGGAAAAGUGUCUUCUGAUACGGCGGUCACAGCAGGUAGUAUCCACGUCGACUUGUAUGCAAACCAAAUACAACGAAACCAGGGGAUGAUAUGACAGUUUUGGAAUGCUUGUUUCUUGGCCGCAAGCAGCAGCAUACUUAAAUCGCGUUGGGCCAUUUGCCCAGGCUGCCGCAAGGACGACAAGUCAGGCUAAUGCAGCUGAUGUCCAUGACGGGUUCAUUACGUGCUGAAUAUGGAAGAUUGCUACAAAGACUCUGGCCCUGACGAACGUAAAAUGUGAUGUUCGUAAGGAAGAAAACAGACGCAUAUCCAAGGCAUGGAGCUGUUUGUAGGGAAACCGUAAAUGAAGGUUUAAGGAACUGAACGAUGAAUUCUGCCGGUGUGGUCGGUUCUGGAUCUCUUAUGUUGCUCGUCACGCUCGUACGGAAAAUGUACAUUUGUUGCAGGAGGGAGUCUGUGUGUCAAGUCGUAGUCAAACCUUUUUCAAAGGGGAUGAGCACACACACAGCUUGCAUUCCAUGUUCACUAACGUCAGCCCACAGUAAGCUACUGGGCUAGACUUGGAGGGUCCGACCGGGGCAACUCGUUGCUGUGGACUUGUUUAGGCAAGUCAAGUAGGGCUAUGGAAUGCUAGGACAAUGUUAUUAUAUUUGUGUUAUAGGCUUGGGUAGGAAUUCUUAAGCAAUACGUUGAGGGGCUUUUCCGCCGGCGGGAGGACGACAAUCCCAUGCAAACAGGACGGAUGUUCCGAAUGUUGCUUACAUUCAUGUUGUCGAAGCUCGCGACGACGGCUCUGGACAGGACGGAUGUCAAGUGUGCGUUGGUGGACGUGAUGGCAACGUAGUGAAGGACAUGGACGCGCAUGCACAGGCCAUGGAAUGGUAUGUCUAAAUCAUGGAUGGCGACGUUCAACUCUCAGAAUGGUGAUUUCUGCCUUUGGGUUCAAUUCUGAACCUGGAAUGCUGCUGGCUCUGCCCGUACCGGAAAAGUGCUUUCCGGUACGGCGGUGUCAGGAGGUGGUAUCUACGUCGUCUUAGGGGCAACCCUAAGACUAAGGGGAUGAACGAAUAGAGAUAUACUUUCUGUUUCUUGGCUGCAGCAAGUGUUGUCCUGGGCGCAACGUUGAUGGCCUGAUGCCGACGCGACCUCCUUUACGACAAUGCUAGGCAAACGCAGCGGAUGUUCAUGAAUUACUUAAGCGUUCAUAUUACACGUCACAGCUUCAACGGCACUGUACUGGGCGGAUGUAAGACGUGCAUUGGUGGACGCGAUGGCCUUACGAAGGGGGAGAAAGACGCUUAGGAGAUGCUUGGAUUGUUAUGUACAAGUCACAGACGGGGACGUUUAACUCUAUGAAUGCUGAGUUUUAGCUACUAGUCGGGUUUUUUGAACUUCGCUGUUGUUGGUUCCGCCCGUACAGGAAAAGUGUCUUCUGAUACGGCGGUCACAGCAGGUAGUAUCCACGUCGACUUGUAUGCAAACCAAAUACAACGAAACCAGGGGAUGAUAUGACAGUUUUGGAAUGCUUGUUUCUUGGCCGCAAGCAGCAGCAUACUUAAAUCGCGUUGGGCCAUUUGCCCAGGCUGCCGCAAGGACGACAAGCCAGGCUAAUGCAGCUGGUGUCCAUGAAGGGUUCAUUGCGUGCUGAAUAUGAAAGAUUGCUACAAAGACUCUGGCCCUGACGGAUGUGCAUUGUAAGGAAGGAAACGGAUGAAGAGUUAGCUCCGCGGCGCAUGGAACGCUAAGUAAGGAUGAUGGACUGUAAGCGUUAAUAUUCGGAGCAGGGAUUUCUGUCUUUUCGCUCGGUUCUGAAAGUCUAACGUCGAUUGCGCAUCCCGUUUGUUCGGGGAACGUACUUAGAUCUGAUACGGCUCACCCGAUUAGCAAUAAUGCUUUCUAUGCUUGCAUAACCAUUUUGCAAACACAGACCAUUAUGCCAAAUCUUUGCUGUAAUGCCUCUGGCCCAGAUGACAUUGCAUGUGCAACAUGUCAAAUAAACUCUGCUGCCCUUCUGCAGUGCA